AAAAAAAGCCGAUCUAUGUCCUUGGAUGCUUCAGCACGAAGGAUCCUUGAAUCUCCACCGAUUGUGUUGCCUACUUCCUUAGCAACGGUCUCCCAUGGUGUUCCCACGGUCAGAUUUGCCAAAAACUCACUUCCCCGAUUUACUGCAUCUGCCAUUGCNNNNNNNNNNNUGGGACAUCUGGGAGAACCUGUUGCAAAGGAAGCCCAUGAUCUCCAGGCAUCAAGCGAAUUGACAUGUCUAGCAUUGAACUAAUAGCUGAUUCUGAACUAAGCAACUGAGCUAAGGUUGAAGUUUCAUCAAUUGCAUCAUCCUUGAACUUCACCAGAAGAUUUCUAGAAAUGCCAUAGUAUGACUUCACCUGUAGAAAUACAAAACAUAGAUGACUAGGUC
RNAcentral lists this unclassified non-coding RNA (390 nucleotides) under Hevea brasiliensis (rubber tree). The record is from RNAcentral. Lineage: Eukaryota; Viridiplantae; Streptophyta; Magnoliopsida; Malpighiales; Euphorbiaceae.